AACUGAUACUACCUGCGGGAACCUGCGGAAGGAUCAUUAAUGAAUAAACCUGGUUGGGUUGUUGCUGGUCUUUCGGGACAUGUGCACGCCUACCACUUUUAUUAACCACCUGUGCACCCUAUGUAGACUGAUGACAACAUAUCGAGGCAACUCGGAUUGAGGACUGCUGUGUGCCUGCAAAGGCCCAACUUUCCUUGAGUCUCAGUCUAUGUCUUAUAUAAACCCCUUAUGCAUGUAUCA
RNAcentral lists this unclassified non-coding RNA (240 nucleotides) under soil metagenome. Its description in RNAcentral is "partial contains 5.8S ribosomal RNA, internal transcribed spacer 2, and large subunit ribosomal RNA". The record is from RNAcentral.